Molecule: ribosomal RNA, 420 nt
Filed under: uncultured bacterium
Lineage: Bacteria
Description: bacterial SSU rRNA
Rfam family: Bacterial small subunit ribosomal RNA
Source: RNAcentral
GAUGAACGCUGGCGGCGUGCCUAAUACAUGCAAGUCGAACGCAUUGUGGUUGAAAUGAUAUGAAGAACUUGUUCAGAUUUGAUUUUCAACAUUGCAAUGAGUGGCGAACGGGUGAGUAACACGUGGGAAACCUACCUCUUAGCAGGGGAUAACAUUUGGAAACAAAUGCUAAUACCGUAUAAUAAUUAAACCGCAUGGUUUUAGUUUAAAAGAUGGUCUUGCUAUCACUAAGAGAUGGUCCCGCGGUGUAUUAGUUAGUUGGUGAGGUAAUGGCUCACCAAGACAAUGAUACAUAGCCGAGUUGAGAGACUGACCGGCCACAAUGGGACUGAGACACGGCCCAUACUCCUACGGGAGGCAGCAGUAGGGAAGUCUUCACAAUGGACGGAAAGUACUGAUGGAGCAACGCCGCGUGUGUGA